Molecule: ribosomal RNA, 414 nt
Filed under: uncultured Funneliformis
Lineage: Eukaryota; Fungi; Glomeromycota; Glomeromycetes; Glomerales; Glomeraceae
Description: partial 28S ribosomal RNA
Source: RNAcentral
GAGAGUUAAACAGUACGUGAAAUUGUUGAAAGGGAAACGAUUGAAGUCAGUCAUACCAACGGGAAAUCAACCUCUUGAGUUUGGUCUCGUGGGUUUCGAAGAGUUUAAAAGCCUUCGGAUUUUCGAGAUUGGGCUCUUCUGGUGUACUUUCUCGUACGGUUAGUCAACAUCGGUUUUGAAUGUCAUAAAAUGACUGGAGGAAUGUGGCUUCGAUCUCGUAUUGAAGUGUUAUAACCUUUGGUAGAUGUGAUGUUUGAGACCGAGGAUUGCAACGGAUACCCUUCUGGGCUAUUCGUCUGAUCUCUGAAACGUUGCCUUGAUGUCGAAAGCUUGCUUAUGAUGUUAGGGUAUUACGGUCAAAAGGUUAGAACGGAUUAAAUUCGUUAAGGAUGUUGACGUAAUGACUUUAAACGA